GUUAGGCUUGUCUCCUUGGCUCUAGCCAUACCAUGUAACAUAUCUGCCUCAUCACCAGGAACAGUUGGAGUUUGAGGUGAUCAAAAGAGAAAAAGGACAAGAAACACAGGAUCACUAACAAAAAAGGAAGAGCCCAAACAGAAGACUUUGCAUUAGAUCCUGGAAAUUAUUGCCAAGAAGGAAUGUGGCUUGAUGGAAGAAAAUCAAUCAAAGAUAUUCCAACUAAGUGUGAAAUAGCUUUGGUCAAUUUAUGUGCUUCUGAUCAGUUCCUGGAUGAACCAGAAUGAAGUUACACAGGAAAGAUAUUUGGAUUGGCUGAGAAACCUUGCCCACAAAGGGAAGAAAAGGAUUCCCAACAACCAGCAGCUGCUUCCUACUCCAUCCUGCACCUGCCUCCUUGAAAGAAAACAAGACAUCAGAUAUUUAUUCAGAUAAUGGAGAAGCUGAUCAGCCUAGGAGCUGCACAAUGCUGAGUUACUCAGGAUAAAAGGGACAACUUUUUAUGCAUUACUCUCAACAUAUGCAUCCUUUCCCUGAAGAUUUAUGACACCCAAGACGAAGUAUUGUGAACAAAAUCAAACCUCUCAGAGCCUCAUGGCAAAGAUUAAAGCUACUAUCAAUAAACUCCUA
This 630-nucleotide long non-coding RNA is filed under the name Monodelphis domestica (gray short-tailed opossum). Its description in RNAcentral is "lncRNA (ENSMODG00000038461.1)". The record is from RNAcentral. Lineage: Eukaryota; Metazoa; Chordata; Mammalia; Didelphimorphia; Didelphidae.